GAACUUUGCCUGCACUGGAAGGGUGGGAGGACCUGGGAGGGAGGAACAAAAGUGGUUUUGUUUGGUGAUGCCGAGUUGACCGGGCAGCCUUGGAAGCCCUCACCCGGGAAGGCAGCGAGCUGUUUGCUUGUUUACUGAGAAGUUUCAUCUGUACAAAAAGGAGAUCUGGUUAGCUUCUGCUGAGACUUUUCAGUAGAAAAUGCUUCAAAAAAGAAAAGAAAGGAGCAGCUAUUUUGAAGACUGACUUUCUUAAAUUACAUUUAGAUAGCUUUUUCCAGGCCAUGCGGAGCAUAGCUCUUGGUAACUUUGGUCUCUCAUCUCAUCCUAGCAGCCCUUCUACCAGCAAAGAAAGAUUUCUUCCCCUUUGGCUCCAGCCACAAGAAUGACUUGCACUGCAUCAACGAAGACAGUGAUGGUUCAGGCUGCUGGAAUAGUGAUGUGAUUUUGGAAUACAGGUGAGGCUUGAUGGGAUGGAGUCCGGAGCCAUAGACCAAGAAAGAAUUCUUGAGGCGUCUAUGGUGCA
Molecule: long non-coding RNA, 523 nt
Filed under: Ursus maritimus (polar bear)
Lineage: Eukaryota; Metazoa; Chordata; Mammalia; Carnivora; Ursidae
Description: lncRNA (ENSUMAG00000002492.1)
Source: RNAcentral